This 458-nucleotide ribosomal RNA is filed under the name uncultured Gammaproteobacteria bacterium. RNAcentral describes it as "bacterial SSU rRNA". It matches the Rfam family "Bacterial small subunit ribosomal RNA", at positions 410 to 860 of the family's 1533-position model. Lineage: Bacteria; Pseudomonadati; Pseudomonadota; Gammaproteobacteria. The record is from RNAcentral.
GAAGGCUCUGGGGUUGUAAAGCACUUUAAGCAGGGAGAAAAAGUUAUAAGUUAAUACCUUAUAACCGUGAUGUUACCUGCAGAAUAAGCACCGGCUAAUUCCGUGCCAGCAGCCGCGGUAAUACGGAAGGUGCAAGCGUUAAUCGGAAUUACUGGGCGUAAAGCGCGCGUAGGUGGUUUGUUAAGUUGGAUGUGAAAGCCCUGGGCUCAACCUAGGAACUGCAUCCAAAACUAACUCACUAGAGUACGAUAGAGGGAGGUAGAAUUCAUAGUGCAGCGGUGGAAUGCGUAGAUAUUAUGGAGAAUACCAGUGGCGAAGGCGGCCUCCUGGAUCUGUACUGACACUGAGGUGCGAAAGCGUGGGUAGCGAACAGGAUUAGAUACCCUGGUAGUCCACGCCGUAAACGAUGACAACUAGCUGUUGGGAGACAAUGUCUUUCAGUGGCGCAGCUAACGUUU